CCCCUAGAUGUCCUGGGCCGCACGCGCAAUACAAUGUAAAGUUCAGAAAGCAUAUCCUGUUCCGGAAGGCAAUGGGUAAUCUUUUCAAUAUUUUACGUGUUAGGGAUCGAUCUUUGCAAUUAUAGAUCUUGAACGAGGAAUACCUAGUAAGUGCAGCUCAUCAGGCUGUACUGAUUACGUCCCUGCCCUUUGUACACACCGCCCGUCGCUCCUACCGAUUUCGAGUGGUCCGGUGGAUCUUUUGGAAUUAGAGUGCAAACUCAAACUAAGAUCGAUAAACCUUAUCACUUAGAGGAAGGAGAAGUCGUAACA
Molecule: ribosomal RNA, 312 nt
Filed under: uncultured eukaryote
Lineage: Eukaryota
Description: partial 18S ribosomal RNA
Rfam family: Eukaryotic small subunit ribosomal RNA
Source: RNAcentral